Non-coding RNA from Hordeum vulgare subsp. vulgare (domesticated barley), 125 nucleotides. Lineage: Eukaryota; Viridiplantae; Streptophyta; Magnoliopsida; Poales; Poaceae. The record is from Rfam.
UAUGUACUCCCUCCGUUCGAAAUUAUUUGACGUAAAAAUAAACAAGAAUGGAUGUAUCCAAAACUAAAAUACAUCUAAAUAUAUUCAUUUCUCCGAUAAGUAUUUUCUGACGGAGGGAGUAUUAC